UGGGGCCAGGUGAUGCGGGAUGGGGCAGGAGGCCACCUCAGGCCCCUGUCCUUCAGUUCUGGAGCUUGGCACCAGGAAGUCAAGCUCCGGUUUGUGUAUAGAGUGCUGGCUCCAAAUCAAAGGUGGCCAACAGAUGCUGUCACCAACAGGUGGAAUGGGGGACAGCCCAGGCCUCCUGGUCCUCGUCACUGGAUGCUGCUCAGUGUCCUCUGCACCCGCUCCCAGGUCUGGCCCAGCAGGAACUGCUCGACAGGUGACAGGUAAUGAAGGCCCCGGGCUGGUCACCAUGGUUCUGUGGCAUCGUUCUCAAUAGCUGCCCCAUGCCUGCUCCCUUGACCCGGUGUUCCGGCUCCGAGACAACAACACCCUCCUCUCUCCAGGGCAUGUCAUCAUCCCCUUCCUGCGGUGUAAACAUGGGUGACUGCCACCGAUGCUGCUGACUGCCCAGGUUCCAGUAAAAGCCCCUCCUUCCCCUGCCGGUUUCCCUCUCAUCACGCCCAGCUUGGCUCACACCCCGUCCUCCUCCCGCCACCCAGCCUGCUCCCUAGAAAGCACCGGAUGGAGCGCAUCCUGAGCUCCCGCAUGGGGGAGGCUGGAGGCCGUCAGUCUGCGGUUCUCCCAGGGUCCCAUCCACAUCUGUCAGGCCUGACCUGGCCCCGGGGCCCCAGUCCCAGGUGGGAACUUCUAGCUUGGGUGUUGGAUCCUGUCCAGGGCUCUGUACCAGAGCCCGCCUGGGUUCCUGCUGGGCUUCCAAAUGACUGCAGAGCGGAGACCUCCAGGUCCUAAGCCCCCCCAGCCACUCCCCCUCUCCUUGCCUCGCCUGUUCUAGGGAACCUGGGAGGGUGAGCCAUGAACCCACUUGCUUCAGAAUCAGGAGGCGUGCGGCCUGUAAUCCCAGGGACUCAGGAAGCUGAGCCAGGAGGGUUGAAAGUUCCAAGCCAGCCUCCGCAUCUUAGUGAGGCCCUAAGCAACUCAGUGAGUCCCUGUCUCUAAAUUAAAAAAUGGUCUGGAGAUGGGUCAGGUUAGGCGCCCCCGAGUUCA
Non-coding RNA from Urocitellus parryii (Arctic ground squirrel), 1041 nucleotides. NCBI's taxonomy places the organism in Eukaryota, Metazoa, Chordata, Mammalia, Rodentia, Sciuridae. The record is from RefSeq and is a predicted model, not a curated record.